AACUAAACAGUCGAUGAGGAAAGGCUAUAGUUAAUUCAUCCGUUGCAGUAUUUGACUCGGCAACUUUGGUGUGUUUUCGGAUACACCGAGGUUCUGGGCGCUGUGGAGAGCAUUGUGGCCUUUUUACCACCUUGACAAUGCUUAAUUGAGUUCUGAGGCUG
RNAcentral lists this small nucleolar RNA (161 nucleotides) under Komagataella phaffii GS115. RNAcentral describes it as "small nucleolar RNA snR4". It matches the Rfam family "Small nucleolar RNA snR4". Lineage: Eukaryota; Fungi; Ascomycota; Pichiomycetes; Pichiales; Pichiaceae. The record is from Rfam by way of RNAcentral.